This 673-nucleotide ribosomal RNA is filed under the name uncultured Actinomyces sp. RNAcentral's name for it is "bacterial SSU rRNA". It matches the Rfam family "Bacterial small subunit ribosomal RNA", at positions 28 to 697 of the family's 1533-position model. The record is from RNAcentral. Lineage: Bacteria; Bacillati; Actinomycetota; Actinomycetes; Actinomycetales; Actinomycetaceae.
GACGAACGCUGGCGGCGUGCUUAACACAUGCAAGUCGAACGCUGAAGCCCAGCUUGCUGGGUGGAUGAGUGGCGAACGGGUGAGUAACACGUGAGUAACCUGCCCCCUUCUUUGGGAUAACGCCCGGAAACGGGUGCUAAUACUGGAUAUUCACUGAUCUUCGCAUGGGGGUUGGUGGAAAGGUUUUUUCUGGUGGGGGAUGGGCUCGCGGCCUAUCAGCUUGUUGGUGGGGUGAUGGCCUACCAAGGCUUUGACGGGUAGCCGGCCUGAGAGGGUGACCGGUCACAUUGGGACUGAGAUACGGCCCAGACUCCUACGGGAGGCAGCAGUGGGGAAUAUUGCACAAUGGGCGAAAGCCUGAUGCAGCGACGCCGCGUGAGGGAUGACGGCCUUCGGGUUGUAAACCUCUUUCGCUCAUGGUCAAGCCGCAGCUUUGGGUUGUGGUGAGGGUAGUGGGUAAAGAAGCGCCGGCUAACUACGUGCCAGCAGCCGCGGUAAUACGUAGGGCGCGAGCGUUGUCCGGAAUUAUUGGGCGUAAAGGGCUUGUAGCGGUUGGUCGCGUCUGCCGUGAAAUCCUCUGGCUUAACUGGGGGCGUGCGGUGGGUACGGGCUGACUUGAGUGCGGUAGGGGGAGACUUGGAACUCCUGGUGUAGCGGUGGAAUGCGCCAAUAU